UUGCCAAUAAUUUUCUAUUAUCUUCAAAUAACAACAGGCUGGAGUAUGAACCUAGUUUAUCAAUACAUUUUUUAAAAACCGACAUUCCUUUCUUAAGGAGUCCAUCCAUUCACCCAUUUUUAAAAAAAUUGUUCCAGGAAGAGGAAUGAAGUUUAUUCCUUUGAAUUCUAGUCUGCAUCCCGGCUUUUAGAACAGGGGAUGCAGAACCAGUUGGUUUGCCCCAGGCCAAGUCCUGAGUCUCCAGCGAUUCAAGCAAUUAACCAGUCACCUGGCCUUUUUGCAGAAAUACACAAAACGUGUAGACUCGCUUAAUUCCAUCUCCUCCUGGCCUCUUCACAUGGAAAUUGGCUGCUCAGGCGAAUGUUGUUUUUCACCGCAGCCAUGUGUCGAAGGGCGAUUAACAUUCGCUGGACAAAACCCCGUCCCGGGCCAUUUGGGGGUUGCACGCGUUCACACCCGGGGCUCAGCCCUGUGCGCCCUUCACGCGCAGCCUUUUUGUUUACGCGGCUAGCAGGGGAGAGGGGCGGAGAGGCAGCGAACCUCUCAAUGUGCAGCAGGCCUCCAGGACUAUAUAAAGCUCGGGUCUCGGACCUACUGGAACUGGCCAAGGUUGCCCGCGAGCUGGCAGCGGCCUUCCGCCCAGCUCUGCGGCGUCAUGGAGACAGCAGGAGGCGCGGAGGGCACGGCCACCGACGGCCCCACGCGGCGCGCGGGCGCGGACUCCGGACACGCAGGCUUCUGGAGACCCUGGGUGGACGGUGGAGGCAAGAAAGAAGCGGACACGCCGAACCACGCCGCGGAGGCGAUGCCCGAUGGCCCUGGAAUGACCGCAGCCUCAGGAAAGCUUUCCCAAUUCAGGCACCCAGUCAGUGAAGCAUACUGAACAUAAUGUAAUCUUCCAUUUGUUGGAAUGACUCCAUUGUAUGGCUACAUGGGCUGUUUACCCUACACUAAAAUGACUGCACUGUACUUGGUGAUUCAGCCUUAUCUCUCCUCUUUCUUUUGCUUGAUGAAGACCAGAAGGCAAGAUUAGUAUUUGUCAGAUUUUUGAAAUUCUGAGACUAUUUUGGCCAAAAUCAAAAUGUUAUGAUUACUUAUAUCAAGAAGCAGAAGCUCUUCUGAAAAAUUUUCCAAUUCAAGCCACAA
Symphalangus syndactylus (siamang) is the source of this 1146-nucleotide RNA transcript. It is a transcript of the gene named ripply transcriptional repressor 2, with no coding region annotated. The record is from RefSeq and is a predicted model, not a curated record. Lineage: Eukaryota; Metazoa; Chordata; Mammalia; Primates; Hylobatidae.